This 538-nucleotide ribosomal RNA is filed under the name uncultured Verrucomicrobiota bacterium. RNAcentral's name for it is "bacterial SSU rRNA". It matches the Rfam family "Bacterial small subunit ribosomal RNA", at positions 134 to 679 of the family's 1533-position model. Lineage: Bacteria; Pseudomonadati; Verrucomicrobiota. The record is from RNAcentral.
AAGUGGGGAAUAGCUCGCCGAAAGGCGGAUUAAUACCGCAUGUACCUCAAAGCAAUUUGAGGCAAAGCAGCAAUGCGCUUUUGGAUGGGGUCGCGGCCUAUCAGCUAGUUGGUGGGGUAAAGGCACACCAAGGCAUCGACGGGUAGCUGGUCUGAGAGGACGACCAGCCACACUGGAACUGAGACACGGUCCAGACACCUACGGGUGGCAGCAGUCGAGAAUUUUUCUCAAUGGGGGAAACCCUGAAGGAGCGACGCCGCGUGGAGGAUGAAGGCUUUCGGGUUGUAAACUCCUGUCAUUUGGGAACAAAGUCCGCCUCUGGCGGAUGUGAUAGUACCAGAAGAGGAAGAGACGGCUAACUCUGUGCCAGCAGCCGCGGUAAUACAGAGGUCUCGAGCGUUGUUCGGAUUCAUUGGGCGUAAAGGGCGCGUAGGCUGCGGGGUAAGUCAGGUGUGAAAUCUCAGAGCUCAACUCUGAAAUUGCACUUGAUACUGCUCUGCUAGAGGACUGGAGAGGAGAUUGGAAUUCUCGGUGUAGC